This 411-nucleotide transfer-messenger RNA is filed under the name Bacteroidota bacterium. It matches the Rfam family "transfer-messenger RNA". Rfam says of the family: Bacterial tmRNA, also known as 10Sa RNA or SsrA, is named for its dual tRNA and mRNA-like properties. The record is from RNAcentral. Lineage: Bacteria; Pseudomonadati; Bacteroidota.
GGGCUUGGGUUGGUUUUGACAGCAAGGUAAAUGUUCAGGCAAGCAUGCAGUUAGGGGUAACAACUAACUUUAAUAAAUAGUUACAUAAAAAUUAAUUGGCGAAAAUAAUUACGCUCUUGCUGCGUAACCGAAGGUUUAGUAAGUUACUCUUUAUCCGAUACAAGGUAUUGGAGCAAGACGCUCCGAGAAAACAUAUAUAACCUUUUGUGUUUUCUAACUUUGCGGGGUGCAUCGAUUCAAAGGUUUAGUCAAAGGGAUGUCUUUAAACUUUGAUGAAAUUUUUCAAAGACUAAGAAAAGAAAAAAGUUGUUUGUCGCUUGUUCUUUUUCUACAAUCAAAGACAAAAUAAGCAUGUAGAAAACUUGAGGGUUUCUUGUUUGGACCAGGGUUCGAAUCCCUGCAGGUCCACUA